ACCACCACCACCACCAGCAUGGCAGUAGUAGCAGGAGUAGUGAAUGGUCACACGUAUGUGGUGACUUCUUGGACUAUCAGGCUGCCCUUGUAGUGUGUUGGACUAUCGGUGAACAAGGAGACCUGAAAGUUACGUGGUACAACUAUUUCGGUGAUAGAAGUGGCUGAGUUGCCGAUCCAAAGGCCUGGCUUAAGAGUGAUCCCGAGCUACCUGUACCAUCAAGAUCAAGAUCGAGCGUCCAUAUCAGAUGGUGAGUCUGCGUACAAAAUUGCAUCGGAGGGAUUGAUAGAGGCAGCCACAAUUAUCCAUCAUCAUCGGCGACACCAUGGCUCUUGAGAAGACCUCCUCUUCUCUCUUCCCAUCUCUUCCUCCUCCUAGCCCAACCAAGCCUAACUCUCUCUCUCUCUCUCUCUCUCUCUCUCUCUCUCUCUCUCUCUCUCUCUCUCUCUCUCUCUCUCUCUCUCUCUCUCUCUCUCUCUCUCUCUCUCUCUCUCUCUCUCUCUCUCUCUCUCUCUCUCUCUCUCUCUCUCUCUCUCUCUCUCUCUCUCAGACAGACAGACCUCGAUGACAGCGUGGUGAGCGAGGAGGGGGAGUCAACCAGCAGAGUAGGGGAGCAUGACCCCUACUUUGAACCAGUGGUGACCUUGCUGGAGGUCUUCGUGGUUAGUGAUGAUGACCAGGAGAAGGAAAUGAUAAGACUGAGUUUCGAGGUCAGGUCAGGCAGUACAAGCUGUUUCUUUAUCACACUUCUGAGUCGCCCCCACAGUGGAAGGAACGGGGCAUGGAGGCCAUUAAGAUUCUGAGGAACAAGCAGAAGAAGGCUGUGGAGUUUGUUCAGCGGCAGAAUUAAUGCCAGUGGGUGAGUUCAGAUCCUCCAAGACACACAGACACACACACAGCAGCCCCUCCACCUCCCCACAGCCCUCCACAGCCCCUGACACAGUAUCUGACACAGGCCCUUCACAGACCACCACAUACCUCACACAUACAUAAGAACAUAAGAACAUAAGAAAUAAGGGAAGCUGCAAGAAGCGACCAGGCUUACACAUGGCAGUCCCUGUAUGAAAUAUACCUACCUAUUUCCAUCUGUUAUCCCCAUCCAUAAACUUGUCUAAUCUUCUCUUAAAGCUCUCUAGUGUCCUAACACUAACAACAUGAUUACUGAGUCCGUUCCACUCAUCUACCACUUUUUUUGAGAACAAAUUUUUUCCUAUCUCCAUCCUAAACCCAAAUUUUUCAAGCUUGUACCCAUUAUUUCUUGUUCUACCCUGGUUGCUGAUCCUAAGAAUUUUGCCUAGAUCCCCCUUGUUAUAACCCUUAUACCACUCAAAGACUUCUAUCAGGUCCCCUCUUAACCUACGUAUCUCUAAAGAAUGUAAAUUUAACAGCUUCAACCUCGCCUCGUAAGGAAUACUCCUCAUCCCCUGUAUCCUUUUAGUCAUUCUCCUCUGUACUGAUUCUAAUAGACCUAUAUCUUUCCUGUAAUGUGGGGACCAGAACUGCACAGCGUAGUCUAGAUGAGGUCUGACCAGCGCCAAGUAUAACUUUAAUACUACUUCCGGCCUUCUACUUUUAACACUCCUAAAAAUCCCACACACCACAGGAGCCUCACAAACAGUCUCACAGCCUUCACAAGCAGCCCCACACUCCACCACAGACACACCAGACCCACAGCCCUUCACCUCACCCACUUCCCAGUCCCCCACAGCCCCCCAGCCACCACAAAUGAAGUGAAAGGAAGGGAUUGUGGCUUCACCCAGCCAGCCAGGACAGCCUACAGAGAGGGGGUAGUCCCAGUCAAGUCACAAAAUAUAGGCUUGGUUCUUCCUACAGUUUGAAGUCAAUGAUUGGACAGGUGGUAACACGGAGAGGAAGUGGAAGAAACCUUGGGACGCUCCCAUAACUCAGGAGCAAGAAAUACACCUUACUGGAAACCUUGUGACUGACAGGUGGUGGUGACUGCAGGAACCAAUUCAGAUGUCUGUCUUGUGUUGGCGAACGUCCUGUCUGCAGUCAGGCCAGUAGUGCCAUGUCGCAGGGUGUGACAUCAGGUGAAGAGCCAAAUGGAGAGUGUCUGCAGCCAGUACUGGGUGUGCUGAUGCUGUACACAAGUGUCGAGCCAGGUGCCACAGCACGUGUCAGCUGACUCCACCAGUGUAGUGUCUCUAGUCCAGGAUGCACUGCUGUGUACGACUUGUAUGUCUUUAUAAAUUUGUGACUAUUCUUAUUAUAUUUGUGAAAUAAGACUUGUAUGUCUUUGCUAAUAAAUAAAUAUUUGUGACUAUUCUUAUUAUAUAUGUGAAAUAAAUAUAUAGUUAGCUAACAGUGUGGUAUAAUAGUGUAAAAAUAAAUAUUUGAUAAUUCAUGCAUGCCCCAAAGGUAAAAAAAAAAAAAAACAGGAUUGUGCCCUCUAAACUUUUAAGAUACCACUUGCACAUAGAAGCCCCAUCCCAGCGACUCCAGUGUCGGCUGGGAUGGGGCUUCUAUGUGCAAAUGGUAUCUUAAACUUAGUUUAGUAGCCGAUCCUGGCUGUUUUUUUUUUUUUUUUUUUUUUUUGCCUUGAGGGCAUGACUUGUACUCCCAGAAAGACUAUUUGCCAAAGAUAUUAUUGACAUGGCAUAAAUAACUAUCAUUAUGUUCAAGAUGGCAUACUGAAUGUUUAUUGUUUUAAUGUGAAUGUUAAGUGAAUAAAUACACAACAAUAAUAUAAA
This is a long non-coding RNA of Scylla paramamosain (green mud crab), 2711 nucleotides long. RefSeq lists it as uncharacterized. The record is from RefSeq and is a predicted model, not a curated record. The transcript has 7 exons. NCBI's taxonomy places the organism in Eukaryota, Metazoa, Arthropoda, Malacostraca, Decapoda, Portunidae.